AAACACCUGAAACUGGCAAUCAGCAGCUUCCCGAUAAGACCUCAGGAACUGGGUGAGCGGGCUCACGCAUGCACACUGAGAGGCAAAAUGGUGGAGUUCAACAGGUAUGUCACCUCCUAGGGACGUUUGACCGGAAAGGGAAGAACGCCUAAAGCGAGCAUGCGGACAACUCCAGUAACACAUUGCACAUGGUCACCUCCCAUGUGCCAGCAGGCCACUAUGCAUGCAGACAGCCACCCCAACGCAAGAAUCAAGGCAGAAGGAAUGUCAAGACCCCAGAAGUGGCUACUAAGUGACUAAUGUAGCAGAUACAAUGUGGAUACAGCUGAACAAAAGGAUGAUUCCCACCCCAGGAGGGAUGGAGCAGGAUGGUGCCAGGUUUCAUCACACUACUCAGAAAGGUGAGAAGACACGUUGAUUUAAGGCACUAUCAUAAAUGCUGUGGUAUACCCUUCAGAUCCUUAUUCAG
This 469-nucleotide long non-coding RNA is filed under the name Homo sapiens (human). RNAcentral's name for it is "HSALNT0174414". Lineage: Eukaryota; Metazoa; Chordata; Mammalia; Primates; Hominidae. The record is from RNAcentral.